This 433-nucleotide ribosomal RNA is filed under the name uncultured bacterium. RNAcentral describes it as "partial 16S ribosomal RNA". It matches the Rfam family "Bacterial small subunit ribosomal RNA", at positions 29 to 507 of the family's 1533-position model. The record is from RNAcentral.
AACGAACGCUGGCGGCAUGCCUAACACAUGCAAGUCGAACGAGACCUUCGGGUCUAGUGGCGCACGGGUGCGUAACGCGUGGGAACCUGCCCUUAGGUUCGGAAUAACUCCCCGAAAGGGGUGCUAAUACCGGAUAAUGUCUUCGGACCAAAGAUUUAUCGCCUUUGGAUGGGCCCGCGUUGGAUUAGCCAGUUGGUAGGGUAAAAGCCUACCAAGGCGACGAUCCAUAGCUGGUCUGAGAGGAUGAUCAGCCAGACUGGGACUGAGACACGGCCCAGAAUCCUACGGGAGGCAGCAGUGGGGAAUAUUGGACAAUGGGCGAAAGCCUGAUCCAGCAAUGCCGCGUGAGUGAUGAAGGCCUUAGGGUUGUAAAGCUCUUUUACCCGGGAUGAUAAUGACAGUACCGGGAGAAUAAGCUCCGGCUAACUCCGUG